GGGGGAGCGCCAGGCCUCUGUGAUUGAAGUGGAACCAAUGAUUCCUGAUGAGGAUGACAGUCAGAGUCAUCUGACAGAACACACGCACCGAGAAACGUGCGAGCACCUGGAGGCAUACAGCGGCGUCACUGUGACAGCAAUGGCAAGUCAAAGUACUAAAAGAAGUAAGCGGAUAAAUCGCAAAAUACCAUCUAAAUAUAGUUCUGAUGUAUAUGGUGAGUUUUAAAGCUUUACCAGGUGUGUAAAUUUAACAUUCAGCAUUACGUGCACGUGGCAGAGGCCGACUUGUACUGCUAGCCUUUUAUUGCAACAAAACGUAUGGAAGAUUGUUUCCACCACUAAAUAAAAAAUAAUAAUAAUAAUUAAAAGUAACAGUAUUUAAUUUCCCAGAAUUUGGAACUUUUUUCUCAGAAUUGCGAGUUAGAAUUGUGUGACGUAGGCCUAAAGUCGCCAUUUUUUACUUGCAACUGUGAGUUAUCACGAUUGAUUGCUUUUUUUUUUUCAAAAUUGCGAGAUGAUAAUUUGUUAUAAAGUCAGAAUUGCAUGAUAAAAAGUCACAAUUGAAUAAAUUCAGAAUUGUGAGCUAUUAACUUGAAAAUCUGAGAAAAAAAGUCAGUUUUCCACCCUCAUACGUGGACACUAUAACAAGCACAUGCAUCCUUAUAUUUACCAAUUCUGUAUUUAACUGUGUUUAUCUGUAUUUAGUGUUUAUAGUUUAAUAAAAACAUUUUACGCUAGGCCUAUCAAUUGUAAUGUCUUCCUUUCCACGGUUAUUCUAACAACAAAUAAAUCACGAAAUGAUUCAGUGUUUUGUAGUGCUGUACAUGUGUAUGUAUGUCUUUGCCACCCCCUUAUCCUACUCUCUAUACUCCUCAGAGAUUCCAGUCCGCAAACCUGCUCAGGAGGAGGUGAAGAAUGAUGUGCAAGAAGAGGCUCCAACUGCCCAUAUAACUCUUUCCAAAACAAAACAAACAGUUGAGAUGCUGAAAGAGAAGAUCCAUGCUCUGGAGGAAAAAGUGGAGUCUUUGACUGAAGAGAGAAACUUUCUCAGAGAGAGACUGGAAGAUGCCCUUAAACUGAAAACUGAAGUUCCAGAACAGUCCCAGAAUCCUACAGCAUCCCAGAUGGAGUCAUCUGAAGAUACAACAUCUUCUGACUCCAGCUCUGAUUCAUCUGAGCCUUCACGAAAGAAGUAUAAAAAGAAACCAAAAAAGAAGAAAUCAAAGAAAGCACGGGCCUGUGAUUUCAAAAGAGUAAAAACACCUGAGGAGUCUGUUUGUCGGUACCAGAAAGUCCUACGGCUUGUUAAAAGUGGCUCAACAAAGGCGGAUGCCUAUAACAGUGUGGGGGUGGACCGCAACACCAUUGUGAACCAAGCACCAAUUGCAGAGCUGGCUGCUGUUAGCCCUGACAUAUUCAAGAUCCUGAGGGCUGGUUUCAAAAAAGGGGACAGUCUGCUAAAAUUUGCAGAAAAAUGUAUGGCUCAAUGCAUCUUAGAGCCAAAUGCAAGUCAGAUCAGAGCUAUGAAAGAAGCCAGUGGUCUGCUGGACAUUCUAAAAAAGUAAAUGUUCAUCAGUAUAUUUUAGUGUUGUUACUUAAGAAUGCAUUUGGUCUUAGUGUUAGUAAAGCAGAAUUUAAAAUAGUCCAUGAAACAGGACAAUAACCUGUUAGAAAAAAGUUGUUACAUUUACAGUAUACACGUUUCUCAUAGUUCUAAGAACAUUUUAAGCAGUGUUGUUACUGUUAUGACUGCUUUUGUUGUACUAAUAAAAAAAUAGAAUAAUCAUCUUUCCCCUUUUAUAUUUAAGUUUUUCUCUUUAGUACAGCUCAGCUAAUGAGCUAGAUUUUUUUGUUUUUGUUUUUAAGCUAAUGGAUGUCAUAGAAAGGGGAGUAUUUAAUUUUAUGUUUUGUAAAUGUUUUAAUGAUUUGUUUUAAUGUAUGUGUUAUGGAAACAUGUUUCUUAAGCACUGUACAUGUGUAAAGUGUUACAAGUGUACACACUUUACAAGUGUUUAAUCUUGGUUUAAUAAAUGCGUUUAAUAAAUGGCUUUUAUAAACUCUAGUGAUGGUCAUUAAUUAAUCAUUAGCUGAUGGUUUGUGAAUAUAUCAUUAUGUUGUGACUUUACUUGUUGAGGCACAUCAUCAUUAACUCAUCAUUUAGUAAAUGUAGUAAUUUACACAUGAAUUUGCACAAAUAAUGCAGUAAUUAAUCAUGUAUUAAUGCAUAUUGCUUUACCUGUUUUGCCUGGAAGUUGAAAUACAAGGCUUUGCCUCACUGUGGUAGUUAACAAGUUAAUUAACACUAUUAGUUAAAGAAAUAAGUUAUUAGGGAAUUAAUCCAUAAUCACAUAUUUAAUUAAUAACAAUUCAUGUAUGAACUAAUAUAUUAACCAGACUGACUCAUUCUUAGUUGAUAAUGUGGCAAUCAUUAACGAAUAGCUUAGAUAAUCAUGAGUUAUACAUUAAUUCAGUAUCAUCUGUGCAUUAGUUAAGCAUGAAUUAAUGCUUAUUAGUGCACACGUAUUGUAAAGUGUUACCGCUUUGUUUGAGGCACUUAUUUGAAAGUAAACUAUAUAAGUAGAAUUGAAAGUUCUGCUUUAUUUACUUUCUGUAAGUCAUCUGCACUUUUAGAAAAUUUCUAAUUACAAAGUCUUUACACAUUUGUCGUUAAUUUAUUUGUUGUUUUCUGUAGAGUGUGCUCUGCUGUUCAGUUACUUGAAUGAGUUUCUAAUUAUUGCAGCAUCAACAAUUUCAGAAAUAGACACCCCAAUGGCAAAAAACAAAUGUGGGUGAUUGCUCUAGCAUCAAGUAUACGGUUUCUUGCUGUCCAAGUAGGUCUUCUUUACCCAAAUAAGAUGCAAAAUUAACUAGACUUAGUCAAUAAGCAAGCCCAUAGUUAAAUGUAAUAGCUAAAUCUGUGGUUCUCAAACAUAGUGGUAACUGGUGACCAAAUUAUUUAUCAUACAAAACAAAGUACUGUAUACACCUAAAAUGAAAAACUGAAAUUUAUUAACGGGAUAGUUCACCCAAAAAAUAAAAUUCUGUCAUAAUUUACUCAUGACAUUAAGUCAUGGCUGGGCAAUGCAUCAAAUAUAUAUUUUUGCAAUAGCUUUGCUGAUAGCAUAAAAUUAGGGAAUAUCAUAUAUAUCAUGAUAAUGUUAACAGAUUAACUCAUAGACAGGAUGCCAAUUUCACUAAGAACAUUAUUAAUUUUCAGGACUGAAUCCAAAAAUACAAUGCCUGACAGUGAAAACCAUAGCAACGGACGGAACAAAAAAAUCUGAUGCUGUCAAAAUAGAUAUAUGUAUUAAGUCUUGGAGUGACAGCACAAACAAACAGACCUGCCAAGUGCGAUAUAUAAUGUGUAAUGUGUUUCUUUGUGCUUCAAAGAUCUUGCUUUGUUGUGCAACAAACCUCAACUUUUAGUAGGAAGAUUACACUUUGUGUAUAAUUUCCAUAUUUUUUAUAUUUCAUAUG
Cyprinus carpio carpio is the source of this 3477-nucleotide long non-coding RNA. The record is from Ensembl. NCBI's taxonomy places the organism in Eukaryota, Metazoa, Chordata, Actinopteri, Cypriniformes, Cyprinidae.